GCGACCCCCGGUCAGGCGGGAUUACCCGCUGAGUUUAA
Molecule: ribosomal RNA, 38 nt
Filed under: Mirabilis nyctaginea
Lineage: Eukaryota; Viridiplantae; Streptophyta; Magnoliopsida; Caryophyllales; Nyctaginaceae
Also listed under: 1 other name
Description: partial 26S ribosomal RNA
Source: RNAcentral